AUCGUGGUUCUUUUUCUCUCAUUUUUAACUCUUUCUAUUCUUGAUAGUCUUCAAACACCGACUCUGGUAUCACUCUCAGUCCUCUGUAAUACCUCAUUCAUCAUAUUUGUGUGAAAAAUCUUGGCUUCGUUAAAGCCUAAUGGACUCACCAUAGCUUCUUCUGAUUUCUUGUGAUGCAAGCCAGAGAGAGAACAGUGGCACGUCAGAGAAGUCUAAAUAAACUUGCGGUCAGAGAAAGCUCAGUUUGUCUAACAUAACUCGCGGAUCCAUUAGGCUGAUUAUAUAAGUAAGCGUUGAAGCUGCAUCGUUUUCUUUCCUCACUUCGAGUCGUCAAUGAGAUGUCUCCGGUGGCGUUGGAAGAAUGAUUUCUGUCUCAGCUUCCCUUUAUAUGCUUC
This 395-nucleotide long non-coding RNA is filed under the name Brassica napus (rape). Its description in RNAcentral is "long non-coding RNA (BNAP_LNC005259)". The record is from RNAcentral. Lineage: Eukaryota; Viridiplantae; Streptophyta; Magnoliopsida; Brassicales; Brassicaceae.